CCGCACGCGUCGGGAGAGCGCGCCGCCUGCUGUCGUCUUGAGUACACAGCAGCCAGCGCCGCCGAAGGGGCACACCCGCAAACUCUCAGGCAAAAGGACCGAACGCGUCGAA
This 112-nucleotide non-coding RNA is filed under the name Burkholderia sp. RNAcentral describes it as "Glycine sequence". It matches the Rfam family "Glycine riboswitch aptamer". Rfam says of the family: This family represents the bacterial glycine riboswitch. Glycine riboswitches usually consist of two metabolite-binding aptamers domains with similar structures in tandem. The aptamers cooperatively bind glycine to regulate the expression of downstream genes. RNAcentral also lists the same sequence under 1 other name. The record is from RNAcentral. Lineage: Bacteria; Pseudomonadati; Pseudomonadota; Betaproteobacteria; Burkholderiales; Burkholderiaceae.